This is a long non-coding RNA of Ruditapes philippinarum (Manila clam), 2551 nucleotides long. RefSeq lists it as uncharacterized. NCBI's taxonomy places the organism in Eukaryota, Metazoa, Mollusca, Bivalvia, Venerida, Veneridae. The transcript has 6 exons. The record is from RefSeq and is a predicted model, not a curated record.
AUCAGGGGCCCGUCUUAUCAACGAUCGUACGAUUUUGGAAAUCUUAGCGUACGAUUUUGAUCUACGAUUGUCGUACGCUCGAUCGUAAGACUGUCUUAUCAACGCGGUCGUACGUUCAACCUAAAAUCUUACAAUUUUCAUAAGCGUACGAUUCUUACGCCUGCGCACUAACACGUACUCUUCAAAAAAGGAGGUAACGCGCAUUUUAAUGUCAAACUUGAAAUACGAUGUCUGCUACAAUUCAGCGAUGUCUGACAAGGCAAGAAAAGUUAAUUGGACAACUCAAGAGCGUGAUAUGCUCAUUAGCAAGUGUGAAACUGCUGAUGUAGCCACCGGCAAGUUUUCACAGACAAUUACAGCCGCGGACAAAGCCCGUUUUUGGGCGGAUGUAGUGGAAAGUCACAAACCAAGAAGAAAACUAUACAGUAUAUUGCGGAAACCAGAAAAACAGGUGGUGGCCCAGCCCCUAUCUUAGACCUGAAGGCAUGGGAGAGCAAGAUUCUACAGACAAUACCCACCUGCAGUGUAGAAGGGAUAGAAAAUGGUGCAGACACCUUUCUUGCUUUGGGAAGAAAGGAAAUUUUGCAGGAUAAAGGAUUUGAAGGUGAUAAUGAGCCAGUGCCAAAGAAGGCAAAAUAUGACAAGAAAACAGAGGAUGACAUAUAUCAACUUGUUGAACAACAGACUGCAAUUAUGACAGAAUUGAAUUCAACAUUAAAAACAUUAAAUCAGUCUUUAGAUGGCAUAAAAAAAAGAUUAGACAAACUUAUUUAAAAUUCUAACACGACAUGUAUGUUUCCCUUAUGAACUCAGAAGAACCGAAAUUGUGUGUUAUAAUGGUCAUAAAAUCAAUGUUGACAUUCUUAUUAAUUUGGACAUUUGAUGAAACCAUUAAAAAUUUUAUGAGCUGAAUAUUAAUAUGGAAACUUUACAGGCACAAGUUAGCUUAAUAUCGGGUACUGCAGCAUUUAUUAGUUGACAUGUGUUAGGAUUGAAAUAAUAUAUCUCAAUCAGUAAAUUUAACCAUUGAUAUAUUAAAAUCAAUGUUUGUCCUUCAGAUGUGCAGCAUUAUAUCAACGGGGCUUUGUCCCCGUGAUGUAAUUUCUUACAUCUGGACUCCGAACAGUGAUUUUAUUUAGCACUAAAAUCAAAAUUUAGGAUAUAUUAUUUCUUAAUCAUUAAUUUAUAGUCAUUGUAAAAUUUUCAUUUAAGCACCCACCCUCCCUAACAUAGUGUUGGUGUCUAUUUUUAUCAGGAAACACUUCUGUCCUAUCUGUAUUUUGAAUUGUUUUUACCAUGUUUGUUUUGAAGUAACAGUUGAGCAAUUAUGAUAGUUGCAAUUGUUAAGUCCUUUUUAAACUUAGAAUUUUAGGCAAUUUAGAAUUUUUAACAUAAUUGCCUGUAAUAUAGAAUGAUUUAAAAGCUAUAAAAGACAUCAACAUGAAACUUGUUAUACUGUUAGUUAAAAAAGAAUUUUGACAGGUUAUAUUACCCCAUUUAAAUGGUUGUUUGCUUAUAUAAUCUAGUGACAAGGUGAGGGUUAUAAUUUGCAAACAAAUUCUUUUAAAUGGCCAUAUAACUUAUCAGAAAUCUUUGUAACAAAGUCAUAAUACAGCAAACAACAUUUUUAGAGGGGAAAAAAUUCUUCAAUCAUAAAUUUAAACAUCAUUGUAUUCCAAUGAAAAAUGAUGUUAAAAAAUGUGCAGUAUUUGAAUUAUUAAUAUUUAACAGGUAUAGUUGUAAGACAAGGGGAUAUUUCUGAAAGCUAUAUUUUUAUGCCACCGCAGCAUCUGCGAUGCGGUGGCAUAUAGCGAUUCACCUGUGUGUGUGUGUGUGUGUGUGUGUGUUUGUUUGUUUGUUUGUGUGUGUGUGUGUUAUAUAGAUUAUAUAGUGAACUUCAAAAAUCUUCUUGUGAAAAACCACUGGUCCAAUUUCAACCAAACUUGGCAGGAUUGAUCCUUGGGUGAAGGGCUUCCAAAGUUGUUCAAAGAAUUUCAUUCCAUGCAGAAAUCUGGUUGCCAUGGCAACCAAAAGGAAUUAUAAGAAUAAAUUAAAAAAAUCUUCUUGUAAAGACCCAAAAGGCCUAGAGCUUAGAUAUUUUGCAUAAAGCAUUGUCUGGUAGACCUCUACCAAGAUUGUUCAAAUUAUAGCCCUGGGGUCAAAAUCGGCCCCGCCCCGGGGGUCAUUGAUUUUCACUAUAUGUACAUAUAGUAAAAACUUAAAAUACCUUCUUGUAAAGACCCAAAAGGCCUAGAGCUUAGAUAUUUUGCAUAAGGCAUUGUCUGGUAGACCCUUACCAAGAUUGUUCAAAUUAUAGCCCUGGGGUCAAAAUCGGCCCCGCCCCGGGGGUCAUUGAUUUUCACUAUAUGUACAUAUAGUAAAAACUUAAAAUACCUUCUUGUAAAGACCCAAAAGGCCUAGAGCUUAGAUAUUUUGCAUAAGGCAUUGUCUGGUAGACUUCUACCCAGAUUGUUCAAAUUAUAGCCCUGGGGUCAAAAUCGGCCCCGCCCCGGGGGUCAUUGGUUUUCCUUAUAUGUAUAUAGUAAAAACU